Non-coding RNA from Caenorhabditis elegans, 21 nucleotides. The record is from Ensembl. Lineage: Eukaryota; Metazoa; Nematoda; Chromadorea; Rhabditida; Rhabditidae.
UUUUAUUCAUAUGCUUAGCUC